This 76-nucleotide small nucleolar RNA is filed under the name Procavia capensis (Cape rock hyrax). RNAcentral's name for it is "Z6 small nucleolar RNA (ENSPCAG00000020259.1)". The record is from RNAcentral. Lineage: Eukaryota; Metazoa; Chordata; Mammalia; Hyracoidea; Procaviidae.
GGGUCUCUAGAGCCUUCUCCAUAAGCUGUUGGCCCUGCCUGGGGGCUGUCAGGGCAGCCCCAUGGAAGCUGAAGCU